AAAUUGAAGAGUUUGAUCAUGGCUCAGAUUGAACGCUGGCGGCAGGCCUAACACAUGCAAGUCGAGCGGUAGCACAGAGAGCUUGCUCUCGGGUGACGAGCGGCGGACGGGUGAGUAAUGUCUGGGAAACUGCCUGAUGGAGGGGGAUAACUACUGGAAACGGUAGCUAAUACCGCAUAACGUCGCAAGACCAAAGUGGGGGACCUUCGGGCCUCAUGCCAUCAGAUGUGCCCAGAUGGGAUUAGCUAGUAGGUGGGGUAACGGCUCACCUAGGCGACGAUCCCUAGCUGGUCUGAGAGGAUGACCAGCCACACUGGAACUGAGACACGGUCCAGACUCCUACGGGAGGCAGCAGUGGGGAAUAUUGCACAAUGGGCGCAAGCCUGAUGCAGCCAUGCCGCGUGUGUGAAGAAGGCCUUCGGGUUGUAAAGCACUUUCAGCGGGAGGAAGGCGGUGAGGUUAAUAACCUCAUCGAUUGACGUUACCCGCAGAAGAAGCACCGGCUAACUCCGUGCCAGCAGCCGCGGUAAUACGGAGGGUGCAAGCGUUAAUCGGAAUUACUGGGCGUAAAGCGCACGCAGGCGGUCUGUCAAGUCGGAUGUGAAAUCCCCGGGCUUAACCUGGGAACUGCAUUCGAAACUGGCAGGCUAGAGUCUUGUAGAGGGGGGUAGAAUUCCAGGUGUAGCGGUGAAAUGCGUAGAGAUCUGGAGGAAUACCGGUGGCGAAGGCGGCCCCCUGGACAAAGACUGACGCUCAGGUGCGAAAGCGUGGGGAGCAAACAGGAUUAGAUACCCUGGUAGUCCACGCCGUAAACGAUGUCGAUUUGGAGGUUGUGCCCUUGAGGCGUGGCUUCCGGAGCUAACGCGUUAAAUCGACCGCCUGGGGAGUACGGCCGCAAGGUUAAAACUCAAAUGAAUUGACGGGGGCCCGCACAAGCGGUGGAGCAUGUGGUUUAAUUCGAUGCAACGCGAAGAACCUUACCUGGUCUUGACAUCCACAGAACUUUCCAGAGAUGGAUUGGUGCCUUCGGGAACUGUGAGACAGGUGCUGCAUGGCUGUCGUCAGCUCGUGUUGUGAAAUGUUGGGUUAAGUCCCGCAACGAGCGCAACCCUUAUCCUUUGUUGCCAGCGGUCCGGCCGGGAACUCAAAGGAGACUGCCAGUGAUAAACUGGAGGAAGGUGGGGAUGACGUCAAGUCAUCAUGGCCCUUACGACCAGGGCUACACACGUGCUACAAUGGCAUAUACAAAGAGAAGCGACCUCGCGAGAGCAAGCGGACCUCAUAAAGUAUGUCGUAGUCCGGAUUGGAGUCUGCAACUCGACUCCAUGAAGUCGGAAUCGCUAGUAAUCGUAGAUCAGAAUGCUACGGUGAAUACGUUCCCGGGCCUUGUACACACCGCCCGUCACACCAUGGGAGUGGGUUGCAAAAGAAGUAGGUAGCUUAACCUUCGGGAGGGCGCUUACCACUUUGUGAUUCAUGACUGGGGUGAAGUCGUAACAAGGUAACCGUAGGGGAACCUGCGGUUGGAUCACCUCCUUACCUUAAAGAA
This 1549-nucleotide ribosomal RNA is filed under the name Klebsiella pneumoniae. Its description in RNAcentral is "bacterial SSU rRNA". It matches the Rfam family "Bacterial small subunit ribosomal RNA". Lineage: Bacteria; Pseudomonadati; Pseudomonadota; Gammaproteobacteria; Enterobacterales; Enterobacteriaceae. The record is from RNAcentral.